GGUUAUACGUAAUUAUAUUUUAAUUUAAACUGAAUAAAUUAAUUUUCUUAUAUUAAAAAUGAAAUGAAAUUCCAAAAUAUAAUAAUAAGCAAAUUAAACUCAAAUACAGACAAAAACCAGGAUUAGAUACCCUGUUAUUCUAUAUUAAUAUAAUAUUUCAAUAUAAAAUUAAAUAAAUUUGACGGAAUUAAAUUUUACAAAGGAUUUUGUUUUGAUUAAUCGAAAACACACGCCCUACCUCACUUAAAACUUAUUUGUAUACCACCGUAUAUGAAAUUUCCUAAAAUAAAUUUCAAAAAAAACCCUUUUAAAAAAUCAGGUCAAGGUGCAAUAUUUUUAAGUCAAAAUGAAAUACAUUAAUUUAUUAUUUAAAUAACUUUUCUGAAAAGAAAAUAAAAUAGAAUUUGUAAGUAAACCAAAAUC
Molecule: ribosomal RNA, 423 nt
Filed under: Epiperipatus sp. OHL078
Lineage: Eukaryota; Metazoa; Onychophora; Udeonychophora; Euonychophora; Peripatidae
Description: partial small subunit ribosomal RNA
Source: RNAcentral